GCAGCCGCGGUAACACGUAAGUUGCGAGCGUUGUUCGGAAUUAUUGGGCGUAAAGGGCAUGUAGGCGGUUUUGCAAGCUUGAUGUGAAAUGCCGGGGCUUAACUCCGGCACUGCGUUGAGAACUGCAUGACUAGAGUAACUGAGGGGCAGCCGGAAUUCCAGGUGUAGGGGUGAAAUCUGUAGAUAUCUGGAAGAACACCAAUGGCGAAGGCAGGCUACCAGCAGAUUACUGACGCUGAGGUGCGAAGGUGCGGGGAGCAAACAGGAUUAGAUACCCC
This 278-nucleotide ribosomal RNA is filed under the name uncultured Treponema sp. RNAcentral describes it as "partial 16S ribosomal RNA". It matches the Rfam family "Bacterial small subunit ribosomal RNA", at positions 511 to 788 of the family's 1533-position model. Lineage: Bacteria; Pseudomonadati; Spirochaetota; Spirochaetia; Treponematales; Treponemataceae. The record is from RNAcentral.